UUGAACGCUGGCGGCAUGCCUUACACAUGCAAGUCGAACGGCAGCAUGAUCUAGCUUGCUAGAUUGAUGGCGAGUGGCGAACGGGUGAGUAAUACAUCGGAACGUGCCCUGUAGUGGGGGAUAACUAGUCGAAAGAUUAGCUAAUACCGCAUACGACCUGAGGGUGAAAGUGGGGGACCGCAAGGCCUCAUGCUAUAGGAGCGGCCGAUGUCUGAUUAGCUAGUUGGUGAGGUAAAGGCUCACCAAGGCGACGAUCAGUAGCUGGUCUGAGAGGACGAUCAGCCACACUGGGACUGAGACACGGCCCAGACUCCUACGGGAGGCAGCAGUGGGGAAUUUUGGACAAUGGGGGCAACCCUGAUCCAGCAAUGCCGCGUGUGUGAAGAAGGCCUUCGGGUUGUAAAGCACUUUUGUCCGGAAAGAAAUCGCACUUACUAAUAUUAGGUGUGGAUGACGGUACCGGAAGAAUAAGGACCGGCUAACUACGUGCCAGCAGCCGCGGUAAUACGUAGGGUCCAAGCGUUAAUCGGGAAUUACUGGGCGUAAAGCGUGCGCAGGCGGGUUGUGCAAGACCGAUGUGAAAUCCCCGGGGCUUAACCUGGGAAUUGCAUUGGUGACUGCACGGCUAGAGUGUGUCAGAGGGGGGGUAGAAUUCCACGUGUAGCAGUGAAAAUGCGUAGAGAUGUGGAAGGAAUACCGAUGGCGAAGGCAGCCCCCUGGGAUAACACUGGACGCUCAUGCACGAAAGCGUGGGGAGCAAACAGGAUUAGAUACCCUGGUAGUCCACGCCCUAAACGAUGUCAACUAGUUGUUGGGGAUUCAUUUCCUUAGUAACGUAGCUAACGCGUGAAGUUGACCGCCUGGGGAGUACGGUCGCAAGAUUAAAACUCAAAGGAAUUGACGGGGACCCGCACAAGCGGUGGAUGAUGUGGAUUAAUUCGAUGCAACGCGAAAAACCUUACCUACCCUUGACAUGCCACUAACGAAGCAGAGAUGCAUUAGGUGCUCGAAAGAGAAAGUGGACACAGGUGCUGCAUGGCUGUCGUCAGCCCGUGUCGUGAGAUGUUGGGUUAAGUCCCGCAACGAGCGCAACCCUUGUCUCUAGUUGCUACGAAAGGGCACUCUAGAGAGACUGCCGGUGACAAACCGGAGGAAGGUGGGGAUGACGUCAAGUCCUCAUGGCCCUUAUGGGUAGGGCUUCACACGUCAUACAAUGGUGCAUACAGAGGGUUGCCAAGCCGCGAGGUGGAGCUAAUCCCAGAAAAUGCAUCGUAGUCCGGAUCGUAGUCUGCAACUCGACUACGUGAAGCUGGAAUCGCUAGUAAUCGCGGAUCAGCAUGCCGCGGUGAAUACGUUCCCGGGUCUUGUACACACCGC
Molecule: ribosomal RNA, 1377 nt
Filed under: uncultured bacterium
Lineage: Bacteria
Description: bacterial SSU rRNA
Rfam family: Bacterial small subunit ribosomal RNA
Source: RNAcentral